CGGCAGAAAUGCAAUUCCACCUCCUCCCGCCCGCCCCCCGCCCCUCUCCCGCCCCCCGCCCCGCUCCGUUCCGCGCCGCUCCGCGGACCCCCCCGGCCCCGCCAUCGCUCCUUCCCCGCGGGGCCGCAGACCGGAGCCCCCCCCCCCACACACACUCCGGCUGCAGCUUUUUACCCCUCGGGGCUGCAGCUUUUGCCCCUUCGUGCAUCUUCUACCCCCCCCCCCCCCCAACCGGGCUGUGCUGGGGGGGGGUUGCACACCCUCUGCCCCACAAGAGCUGCCUCCCGCAGCCCUCCCCAUUGCCUCCCCCACCCCAUUGCCACUUUUCCCCUCUCCCCCCCCCCCCCCAACUCGUUCAGCCCUCACUCCCCCCUCCCCCGCAGACGGGAUCCCCCGCCCCCAGGCGUGCUGCUGGCCGGCUCCCGCCCCCCGGCAGGAUCCCGCCGGAUCCCGCCCCCCCAUAGCGGGAUCCCCGCCGGAUCCCGUCCCCCUCCCUCCCCCCCCCUCACCGUAACGGGAUUCCCGGCGCUGGGCCGCAUCCUGAACCCGGCCCCUCCAGAGCUGGGGCUGUUUGCGGAGGGCAAAACUUACCCUAACAUAACGCCUAGAAAACUAAACUCAGUGCGGGCACUGCGAACAAGCUCCGAGCUGAUUCUGCUCGUUUGGGUGCCGUUUUAUUUUUAUCCUCACGCGUUUCUUUUGGGGCAUGUUUUUUUUCCCCCCUCUUUCAUUUCAGCACUCAUCCAGGUUUAUUUGAACAGUCAGCUAAAUCUGAUGGAAAAAAAAAAAGAAGAAGACGAAGAAGAAGGGGGGAAAAAAAAAGAAGCCAAAACACACCCGAACGUGCUGAGCUCUUACAGUGUCUGUGUGCUGUUCACAGAUAGGGAUCGCUGGGCUCUUCCUGCCCCGGCCCGGCCCGACCCGCAGAGCCGAACUUCCCUGAGGUUACAACUUUGUCACCUUUGGGAAAGUAUGAAAAUUAACACAAAAAUCGCUCAGAGGGGACUGAGGGGGGGGGGGGGGGGGGGGGAUAAGGAAGAAAAAAGAGAGAGAAAAAAAAAAAAAGAAAAAGCCCAGACUCCACCUUUGCACUGA
This 1095-nucleotide long non-coding RNA is filed under the name Coturnix japonica (Japanese quail). RNAcentral describes it as "lncRNA (ENSCJPG00005020781.1)". The record is from RNAcentral. Lineage: Eukaryota; Metazoa; Chordata; Aves; Galliformes; Phasianidae.